AAUAUAGUGCCUGAAAUUAAAAAGGGUAGCUUUGAUAGAGCUAAUAAUGUAAAAUUUUCCUUACCUAUAUUA
Molecule: transfer RNA, 72 nt
Filed under: Terrapotamon thungwa
Lineage: Eukaryota; Metazoa; Arthropoda; Malacostraca; Decapoda; Potamidae
Description: tRNA-Ile
Source: RNAcentral